GCCACUGAUAGUGAGCCACUGCAUCACACAGGGAACCAAAAGAUGGUGCUGUUACUGCACAGGAACAGGAAAAAAGGUGGAUUCCAAUCUCUGCUGCAGUCUUUGGGGUCAGCGAGGGAGCAGGGAAGAGUUGAAGUGGUCACUGCUUCUCUUUCAGGAAAAUAAUCUGUCCCACCAUGCUCUGUUUGCUUCCUGCCUGCGCUCAACAGACUUCAAAGUCUCCCACCUGCAUCGUUGAUCACUGGGAAUCAGCACUUUGCAAGCUCAAAAGAAUGGAUUAUUUUUUACUGUCACUGAUUUUUUCUUUCCUACAAGCGUCCCGUGCCACUGCUUUAAGCUUUUUACUUUCAGCCAUCUCCUGCGGGGAAUUCAGUUCUGCUCUGAUCUCCCUGACCAUGUGAAUGCCGACAGCUGGAGACCUGGUACAGUUGCCAUGAGGACACCUGAUGCAAACAUAAUGCUGUAGUGGGAUUAAGACUAUUUAUAAGAACUGUUUACUUGCUUUUUAGCUGAAGCAGAUGGAAAAUACACUGAUGAAAAUAUCUGUUAUAAGUGGAUUAAGAAAAUUCACAGUCUAUACUGCUGAGAACUCUAGCGAAACAUCUAAAAAAAGACCCCUCAAAAUAUGAUGCUCACGUUAUUUUUAAAGUUGGAGGUAAGAAGUAGGGAGAAGUAACCUUAUCUCUUCAGAAUCACCAUUAAAAUUUCAGACUUCUCUGUGCGUUUGUACAGUGCCUAUUGCAAAAGGGUCUGACCGAGGCCUCUAACGGUAGCACGUUGUAACUACUCCAGGUCUCGUGAGUGCUUCAUGUGUGUAAAUGUCCUCAGUGUAUUCCCAAAGAGUCAGGCAGGGUUCGCCGUGCUGUCCUUGUAUAUCCUUCUCGUCCUGUUUUGGGGUGUGCAGAGGCUAUGCCUUCCCGCUGGGGAAAUUCUCUUCUGAAGGAGCCUGUUCUGAUGUGAAAGUGAUCCAAGUCUGUUUCUGAGAUAUUCCAGUUAUUGGCAAAAUCUAGAAAAAAGCCUUGAAUUUGUAUUGUUGAUUUAACAACAUCAUUAUGAAUGAAAUAAUUGUAGGAAACAAUGCCUGUUCCUACAUAAACAAUAUGAAGAUAACUGCUGAUAAUCACAUUAUUACAUUGCAUUCCUCAUGCUUUUUUUUUU
Molecule: long non-coding RNA, 1158 nt
Filed under: Struthio camelus australis
Lineage: Eukaryota; Metazoa; Chordata; Aves; Struthioniformes; Struthionidae
Description: lncRNA (ENSSCUG00000013015.1)
Source: RNAcentral